AUCCUACGGGGGGCAGCAGUGGGGAAUAUUGGGCAAUGGAGGAAACUCUUACCCAGCAAUGCCGCGUGAAUGAAGAAGGUCUUCGGAUUGUAAAGUUCUUUAAUUGGGGACGAAAAAAAUGACGGUACCUGACCAAGAAGCCCCGGCUAACUACGUGCCAGCAGCCGCGGUAAUACGUAGGGGGCAAGCGUUAUCCGGAAUUACUGGGUGUAAAGGGAGCGUAGACGGUGAUGCAAGUCUGGAGUGAAAGGCGGGGGCCCAACCCCCGGACUGCUCUGGAAACUGUAUGACUUGAGUGCAGGAGG
Molecule: ribosomal RNA, 305 nt
Filed under: uncultured bacterium
Lineage: Bacteria
Description: partial 16S ribosomal RNA
Rfam family: Bacterial small subunit ribosomal RNA
Source: RNAcentral